GACGAACGCUGGCGGCGUGCUUAACACAUGCAAGUCGAACGCUGAAGCUCAGCUUUUGUUGGGUGGAUGAGUGGCGAACGGGUGAGUAACACGUGAGUAACCUGCCCCCUUCUUUGGGAUAACGCCCGGAAACGGGUGCUAAUACUGGAUAUUCACUGGUCUUCGCCUGGGGGUUGGUGGAAAGGGUUUUUCUGGUGGGGGAUGGGCUCGCGGCCUAUCAGCUUGUUGUUGGGGUGAUGGCCUACCAAGGCUUUGCCGGGUAGACGGCCUGGGCGGGUGACCGGUCACAUUGGGACGGAGAUACGGCCCAGACUCCUACGGGAGGGAGCAGUGGGGAAUAUUGGACAAUGGGUGAAAGACUGAUGCCGCGAGGCUGAGUGAGGGCUGGAGGUCGUAGGGUUGUGAACCUCUGUCGGUAAUGGUCAAGCCGCAACAAUGGUUGUGGUGAGGGUAGUGGGUAAAGAAGCGCCGGCUAACUACGUG
RNAcentral lists this ribosomal RNA (483 nucleotides) under uncultured bacterium. RNAcentral's name for it is "partial 16S ribosomal RNA". It matches the Rfam family "Bacterial small subunit ribosomal RNA", at positions 28 to 507 of the family's 1533-position model. The record is from RNAcentral.